Bos taurus (domestic cattle) is the source of this 426-nucleotide non-coding RNA. Lineage: Eukaryota; Metazoa; Chordata; Mammalia; Artiodactyla; Bovidae. The record is from Rfam.
UAUAAUAAUGAAGAAACAAUGAUAGACAGCUUGAUUUAGAUUCAAAUGGUAUUGAAAUUUUUAAAGAAUCAAGGCUAGUUGUCCUCCCCACUGGGUGUGCCCUCAGGGCCACGGUUGCAAGGCAUCUGCCUCCUUGGCUCCUAGCAGCCAGCUUAGAACUGGUGCGGAUGAGGGGAAUCUGACUAUUUAAAACAAAGCAUCAGGAAGGCCCAUACCCGGUGUUGACCUGAUGCGAUUUCUGCUCAGUGCUCUGAAUGUCAUAGUAAAGAAAUUCAAUGAAGGGCAGGUAAGUGGUGGGAGUAACGAUGACUCUCUUAAGAGAACUAAAGCUUCAUCAUAUAAUUACUGAUGCACAUGAAUGGAUGAACCGAUUCCCAUUGUCCCUACCUACUAUCCAUGAAACCACAGCCAAGGGAACAGGCCUGG